UUCUCUAUGACUUGUAUUAUUUUUGUUUGAAGUUAAAGCUAAAUAUUUAGGAUUUUUAUGUCCUCGUGGUUUCAUUUCUUGCACUUAUUGUGUUUGAUCUCUCUACAUAUUCAUUCAUUUCUUGAUCGUCUAAAAAUUCUUGUAUUUAUGCUAAUUUCUUUGUCGUCCAUGUGCAUUUUACCUAUAGAAACAUACAUGCAACUCAUUGUCUUGGUAUUCAUUUUCUAUAGUCGAAAAAUUUCAUGUCAUCUCAUGAUUUCUAUGUCCAAAGUGUCUACAAGUGCAUCUUUUCGUCUUCUAUUUUAUACUUAAGUUCAAGAUUUACCCUUUAAACCUGUUGUUUUUCUGUGAGGCUGAGAAUUAGUUUUUGAAGGUAGUUGAGACAGAAAGAUUAAUUGGUAAGUACGACAAAAGUGAAGAAUCUUUAAUACUUUAUCCAAAGGUAAGUAAAUUUUAAAUUCAAUUAGAAAUCUGAAUAUUUUUUGGGAGAAUUUACCAAAAUGUCACUUUUUUUGAAAAUGCACAAAAAACUUUGAUGUGCACACAAUUUGUACAAAAAUGUCAC
This 565-nucleotide long non-coding RNA is filed under the name Olea europaea subsp. europaea. The record is from RNAcentral. Lineage: Eukaryota; Viridiplantae; Streptophyta; Magnoliopsida; Lamiales; Oleaceae.